This 28434-nucleotide long non-coding RNA is filed under the name Musa acuminata (dwarf banana). RNAcentral describes it as "long non-coding RNA (MACU_LNC000695)". Lineage: Eukaryota; Viridiplantae; Streptophyta; Magnoliopsida; Zingiberales; Musaceae. The record is from RNAcentral.
UUUUUUUUUUUGUUUUGAAUCACAAACCCUUGUAAUUAUAUAAGUUAUUAGCAUAAAAAAAAGAAAAAGAAAAAGCAAUCAUCGUUUGAAAGGCUUCAUCAAUUAACAAUUGAUACUUGAAAUAUUAUUAGUCAGUGCACAAGUGUUUGGCUAUCUAAAAUUCAUUGAAGUGAAAUGAGUUCAAGCCUUUCUUUUAACUAAAAUUCUUUUUUACUACAUUUAUCUUUCCCUAUCUUAUUUGUAAUUACAGAUAAUAAACAAAUGGGCAGUAUAGUUUACUCGAAGCAUACGGCGCCGCACUAUGUUUCAGAUUAGAUCCGUGUCUCAUCUCUCAUUCCUCCGUCCUCCGUCCUCCGUCUUGGCUGUCUUGUAGCCAUCAGAAUGUGCGUAGCGAACGAGACAAAGUGUGUUCUUUUAACCCCUCAGAAUGUGCACAGCGUAUAAGACAACAGAGAAUGCUAAUCGGAGGAAAGGGUAGGGUUGGUGGAUCCCAUUAGCCCUUCUUUAUGUUCUCAUGGAUCUCUCCUCCGAGGGUGGGGUAGCCGCGCAGGAGUACGUCCUUUUAAUUGGAUCAGUCCCACAGCAACAAUGAAUGCCGCGAUAACAAGCUCUUUGUCCUCGUGUGUACUGCUUUUUUUCUGGACCUGCCAUGGAUUCCUCAUGCUUUCGAAAUGGCGUUCACGCAAAAGGUACGAAUACGAAACAGGACGACGAUAUUUUAGAGGAAGUCCACUCACAACCACCACAUGGAUGCCGUCGGUUCUCCAAAAUAUUAGUACGUAAGGAAAAGGGAAGAGUGAAAAGUGAAGUCUAAAGAGAAGAAAAGAAAAGCCUCCAAAGGAUCACCAUCUAAGUUAGCAAGAUUCCUAUAGAAAAGUGAUGAAACUAUAUUACCAUAUUUAGUAAGUUAGUUCCACGUUGGUCGAGUGUAUGAAGAUCACAUAGUAUUAUGAUCAUAUCAUUCGACAUAUUGCCACAUUUAAUUUUACAUUAAUUCAGUUGAAAAGUCAAAACCUCAUAAAGAUCUGAGGCCAAGCUAGAAUUAUUUCUCACAGACCUCAGAGUACUCUGCAUCGUCGGUCAUUGCAAUGACCGUAGUAUUAUGAUCAGAUCCCUCAUCCUAAUAUCCAUAAAGAAAAUUGAAUCCGAUUGAUUCAAGUUGGGGUUAAAACUUAUUGCUAUUAUACCCAAUUAGACCCACAAGGGGUAGAGUUCUUCACAUGGGCUCAACUUGUGAGCCCAAAUAAAAUCAUAUUAUCGGCCGCCGAGUCAAACUAGUGAUGAGUUCACCAGAAAAAAAGAAUAUAUAUAUACAUAGAGUUGUUGCUUUAAGUAACACAACUAGAUUUGUUUCUUGAAACGAAAAAAGAGAAAAAAACAGUAGGCAAAAGUCUUAGCUUUACUGAAUAGUUUUGACCCGCAACGAAGCAAAUCUCGGAUAAAGCAUGAAAAAGAUGGCAUCAGCUACGCAUUGAUAUAUUAAUUCAUUCUCAUCAAUAUAUCCCCCAAACAAUAUGAACAAAAAUCGAAGAAAGCGGAGUUAAUUGUGGCCAAGCAUGUUUUUUUCUGCAUCAAUAUUCCGCGUAUAUUAUGAUAUUAGCACAGAAUAAAGGAAGAGGCAUCUUACUCCAUCAUGCACAUGGGUUCACUAAACACCGCUCAUCUUUCUAGUUUGCUCAGCAAAGCUUCCAUUGGUGGCAACUCCUUCACAAUCUCUUGCCAAUCCGGCAUGCCCUGGGUAUGAAAAAUACAGUAAGGUGGUAGUAGAAUACUCCAAGAGUAUAACUUGCUCUUUAUACGGGUUUCAAAAAUUUUACUGUGUCAUGUUGUUGUCGAUUCACAGAGAUACGCAUUCGUCUUCCCUAGUUUAGCUAAUUCAGCAGCGAUGAACUACUUUCCAGUCGUCAAAAAGGAUGAACUUUAUGACUGGAUCGAGCAAAAAAUUCCAGUUUUGCUAAAGAAACUAUACCUUCCCUGACUUUCGAACACGUCCAUCUAGACGCAGAAUUAUGAAAACGUCAUCACCAGGAUCAAGGACUCCUUCGGACUUUUGCUGAUCACGUAUCCAUCUGAACAUCACACACAUGAUUAAAGCUAUACUUUGGGCAAAUUUUAAAAGAACCAAGAAAUGGACUACUACAUGUUUUCUUAUACUUUUACUACAAAAACAACAAGAAAAUGCAUCCAGCACAAGACGACUUCAGCUAAUUCUUUCAGGUGGCUCAUUUAUUCAUUAAGCUUAAACAAGAAAUUGAGCAAGAUAUAAAAAAAUAGAAAUGAUGAACAAAUACAAGUGAAAGCUUGUCGGUGGUUGAGAUAAUUUUUUUAACAACUGGUUGAGAUAAGUGAUCAGAUAGCAAAAAAUACCAACUUGUAUGGCCGCUUAAACUUGGAAGUGAGAACUGGGCCCAGUUUUGCCGGUACGGGUAAAAAAAAAAGGAAAUAUUCUCGUAGAUCUAUUGAUUAUUGUGACAGGAUUAAGAAAUACAUAGAGAGAUUUACAAUAUAUAAGAUAAAAGAAAUGAUACAGUUGGCCUUAAUCAAGGGGUACUAACUAAGUACUAACAAAAUCCCAAGUUUGAACAAGUGAAGGGCUAGGUCAAUUUGAGACUGAGAAAGAAUUAUGUUUGUCUAAUUUUGUGAAUUUUAGCUGGUUUUCACCAUUGCUUUAGUUGUAAAUUAUAAUUUUCGUAAUAAUAGCACUUUUGUGUUGGUUUAGCAAGAGCUCAGAUGGUUUGACUUUAUACUGUGAUGAUCCAAAGACAUGAUAGGGGUAAAAUAGCACUGAAAAAUUAUCUUAAAGAGAAUUAUCUGGCUAAAGAUUUAAAUUCUGUACACAUUGCACAGGUGAAAGAUCUCUCGCUUAAUUUCCAACAUUUUUUUCUUCAAAUCUCAUCAAGUUUGUUCUCUAUCUCUCUUAAUUAUCUAUCACAUACAACAGUUGCUGAGUUGAAUGCUGAAAUGCAAAGAAAUAAUCAGAUCGCAUUCCUUUAUCUCCUUCAGCCACUACUGAGCUUACCAAGGAAUAUUCAUAUUGUAUUCAAAUUUAUUAGUGCAAAACUCAUAUACGUUGAGGUCUGCAAAAAGCCAUCAGAGAGGUCUGGACCCAUGAAAAAAUGAUUAUGAGUGUUGAGGAUGUAUUUAUUAUAUGAAUUAAAUCCAAUGCAUCAAGCAAAACAUGUAGGAGGUAGCUAAAUAAUGUUUGGGUUUGAAAAUAUAUAGAUGAGCAAUUUGUAUAUUAGAUAGUUAUGAGAACAUGUGGCUAGGAUCAAGUACAAGUAACUGUCGCUAAAAUUUUGAAAAUUAUAUUUUAAAUAUGUAAACCAACUUGAAAGAAUACAUUAAGAGUCAAUUUCACUUACCUUUCCCAUUCAUAAGGAGAUACUAUCUCAGCCUUGAAGCGCACCUCAGCUUUCAAUCGUGACUUUGCAGUUAUAGAUUGAGUUCGUUGUUCAAAAUCAUCCUACCAAAAUGCAAUUGUAUUUUACGGCAAUAACAUCAAUGAUGCUAGUAUAGCUACACAUAUAUAGUCUGAACAGUAUAAGUUACUAUAUUUAGCAUAUACCCUAAACAUACACAUUUGCAAACAUAUAGAAGGAAAAAAGUUGAGAGAUUAUCAGGAAGACAACACAAAGAACAUGGUACGACAUGAGAAUACCCGAGCAUCUUCUGUUGAUUAAUUUUCAUGGUAUGACAUGAGAAUACCUUAGGUGACUAGUAGAUAGACUCACAUCUACAUUCCUACUACAUCUGUGAUCAAGCUAACAACUAACAAUUUACAUUAGCUAGAUUCUUUACCCAAAUUUGGAAGUAUGAUGACCCGAUGAUCCCAUAAAGAGAGUUGGCCUGUUGGAUCAGCAAGAUGGGGACAUCUUUGGGCAGACUAUCAUCAGAACCCUAAAGGUGAAUUUUGGAUCAGGCCAGAUUCAUUGACAUCAAGCUUUUGACUAGUGAAGACUGAAUGUCCCAGUAGUCCCACAUCACUAUGGACUAGGUUAUUAUAUGUUUAGAGAUAGAUGACUUUAAAACUAACAACUACGACUCAAGGAUUUUGGCUCACAUGGUUCUAAUGCUGUUACAUCAUAGUUAUUAGGUUAGUCUAUCGGGCUAGAACAUGAUGAUUGAUCUUAAAGUAACUUCAGGCUUCUCUGGGUGGGCUGACACAUGACAAGAUGGGGGUUACUUUAUGUAGACUGAAAUGUGAAUUUCUUUGGGUUAGACUCCCAUUAGAAUCUCAGAUGUUUUGGACUCUUGACAAGGAUGUCAAACAUUUAAUUGGGGAAGAUUUUAAGACCACAAUAUUUCCACAUAGACAAUUGAAGUUGAAUAAAAUUAGUACAGUUAGUAGUUGAACUUGAGCAUUUUGGACCACAUGGAUGUAUACCCAUUAUAUUUGAGCUACAAAUUCAAUAAGUCUACUGGGCCAGGAUGUCAAAAUUCCUGUUCUUUGACUCAUAAACUAACAAAAAUGUAGCAACAAUAGCUAAAAUUGAUUUAAACUCAAAAAAGAUUCUGUUAUGGUGUAAUUUCAACCCCAUUUGAACCUAACUCUAGCCGAAGCCAAUGCCAAAGAAUAAAAGAAAGAGGAACAAGUAGAUAGCAAACAAACUCCUAAUUGAAUAACCAAAAAAACCAAAAGAACAAUAAUGGACCAGUUCCCAUGGCCUAUGAUGAGUUCCCAGAGAAAGUAAAUUGGUGCUUUGAUACUUGAAAACUACUUCAGGUGUAAUUGCAUAGGUAUAUAUAAGUGCAGAAGACAUCCCAUAAGAGCAACUCAAAGGUCCAUUUUAUGCAUUUUACUGACCAAGCCACACAUUUUUGCAUUUAAAUAGACAAACAAAUAAAUCUGACCCCAAUUGAAGGAAGAGAUGAAGCAGAUUUUGCAGGAACACCAAAGCCCUUUUUCUCAAUGGAAGCCUUGCUAUAAUCACCCCAGAUAACAGGAAUCAGAAGAACACCUCGCUUAAGCAGUUCAGUUCGGAACCUUUCAGCCUUCUCCAUUGCUCUUGAAACAGUCUCCUUCUUCCCUGCCAAAAUUACCUAAAGUAUUGUUCAUAUAAGACCUCCAAGUUUCUUGUAAAAUUUGUAAGUGCAGAAAAAUUGAAGAAACAAAAAUGGUUUCCAAAACAAUAAAAGCUAACUUCAUCUCAUACAAUGUACAUACAAAAGAAUGGAAUUAGUCUCCUGAACAAAUGGCAUCUAACAUAGCAGAAAAGUGACACUAACCGGCCUAUAAGUGUCCCGAAGCUGCACAAGUUCAACAAUCCGAUUAGUUGAAAGACGCACAGGCAAUCUUGAGAGAGUUUCAUCACGUGAUAUUUGAGCAAGCUGUUCCUCUUCCUUCUUGUUGUCCCAGAUGAACAACACCACAAGAACAACAAUGCCUACAGAGUGCUGAUUCAAAAGCUUGAUCAAUUUAAAGAAGUGAUUUCCAAAUACCAACGAAGUGCACUUUCAAGAAUUGAAGGCGUCAAUUUGAUUAAACAAAAUUGUCUUCAUGGUAUAUAUACUAUAAUCAUUUACCGCCAAUGUUGAUGGCAGCAUUUCCAGCAGUCUCCCAAAGAUCAGGAGCCCCAUCACCACCAUUGAUUGCACGUAUGAGUCUGGGAACUGUAAAAAACAUAGAAAUCCCAGCUGCAGCAGAAAAAGCCACAUAAAAGAAUCUUCUCACGCCACGAAAUGGUGCUUGAACUUCACUAAUGAGUUUGAGAUCUCUUCGAAAUCCAUAUCCUAUGUCUUCACCUCCCAGCCUGGCCUACAAAAGCAUGAGAGGAAAAAAAAAUUGUUUCCAUAGCAUGGAAAAAUAGCCUGAAUCAAAAUAAGAACUUAGAUACACAUGAAAAUGCAAACUGAACAGAUGGACAACCUCUUCUUGCAGUUGUUUAAAUUCUGGUAAAGCUCUGAAUGAGGCUAAGUCAGGAUCAUUCAGAAUAGUGCUGAAUUUGAGAUUGUAAUCUCGCAAAGCAGCUCGCAAACAUUCUGCUGCUUGCUUUCCUUCACCUCUAAAACAAGAACAAAAUUUUAAACAAAAAUCACCUAAGAAAAAGAAAAAAAACCCACAAAGAAAGCAAGAAUAUGGAAAAAAAGAGAUGCAAGGGGAAGAAUGCUAGCAUACAAUAGAUCCUAUUUCUUCCAAAUGAUGACAGGCAUUUUACUACCCAGAAAAAAAAUCAAACAAGGAAACUAAAAUUAUGGAGAAAUAGUAAAUUAGAUGCCUGCAUUGUAUCUCAAAACCAUAAAAGAUUUCUCUAGGCCGUCUAACAUAUCAAAUAAAAUGCUAGACAUUAAUUACAUCAUUUCAAAAUUUCAGGACUUACUAAAACAGAAGAACACAGCUUAAAAUCAUCCAGCAGAAAACUGGACAACAAACACUUAGCAAAAGAAGUUGGUUCUUGGUGCCUGAAUUGCUAAGCACAAAUCAAGCAUCCAGUGUCCUAUUUAUCAACCUCAUUAAUACUGAUUGCAACAGAAUAGAAAAAGCACCAAUAGAGUUAAUUAUCCCUUGUGCACCUCUCACCUAGACAAAUCCAUCAUUUCAUGAACUCACUUUUUUGACAGUCAAAUAUUAAAUAAAACACCAACUUGAUUUCACACUCAAGGACAACUCUAGAUGAAUCUUGAAAGCUACAACCUCCGCCGUCCUCAAUUCCAUAGUUAUUUUGUACAAUUUAUUUUAAAUACCCCACUGAACUAUAACAAUCAAACUGGAACCAGAAGAAGUUUUUAGUUCAGCCUCAUCUUAAUUGGGAUUCUGUAGUCCUGCUAAUUAGCUCCUUUACUAUUAUGAUGAUGUAUAAGGCUGACAUCAUUGUAAUAUACCAAUGUGACAUAUCAAAUGAUACAAAUGAUGGAAUGCAGGAUUUAUAAAAAAGUUCAAAAAGAUUAAAUUAUAGCACUAUUGUUUAACAUUUAAAAAAAAUCUUGUGAGUGCAUUACCAUGUCAUUUUUUCUCUCAAGCAUUAGGUUAUAAUAGGAGAAAGUAACAAAUUUCUUAACUGACAUAUAGUUUAUCCAUUGAAGAGCUUUUGAAAAGACAACAGAUUGACUUCCCAAAUUUCAAGAUUUACCCCUCAAUAGGAUCCCUACUUAUCGCAAAAAAUGAGCAAAUAGUAUUAAUUAAUUACUUGCCCUGAAAAUUUUUCCAACCAUGAGGGCUUAAUCCCUAGAAGAUAAGGAAACUCCAUAUCUACAUGCAGCACCAAAGUCACAAUUAUAUUUGAUUUCCAUGUAUCUAAACAUUCUAGCAGAGGAUAGAGAUUUUUUACUUGUAUGCAUGGCAGCAAGCUUUGUUGUACAGUGCUGCUUGGGCUUCCAUAGGAUUUGGAUUUAAAGAAAGGGCAUUCUCAAACUGCACAAGAGCUUCUUUCACCUAUCACAUUUUCAGUCAUGCACACGGAAAUGUGAGAUAAAGACGUAAGAAUAUGAUGAAAUGAUGAAAAGAAAAGAAGGUAUAACGAACAGUAGACUUUAAGCCAGAUUCCUUAUUACAGCAAUGAUGAAAAGAAAAGAAGGUAAGAUUAUUAUGGAACAAGCACAUAGACACAAUUUGAAAGAAAAGCAUUUGAAUGAAGGAGUAGCACAAUAUAGCAUAUAAAUGUUCCUCCUAGGUAACUUGUCUUGUCCUCUCUUUCCUGACAUAAAUUAAUGCAUCUUGAGACUGUAACAUUUUCAGUAGAAACCCAUCCUCUUCUUUUUAUGUGAUAGAAUUUUGCAAGGACAUUAUUGGCCUCAAAAGACAACCAUAUGGCAUAUGUUUAAGAUCAGUACACAUGGCCCUUGUCAUGAUGUUUUGAUGAAGAGACCAAGCCUCCAGAUGAACUAUGUACAAUCAAAGUAUGGUGUUCAGUUCAAGGAAUUAUGCUGCCACAGAUUUUUCUCUUUUAUUUCUGCCUUUCCAUAAAUAUUUCGGAGCUUUCAGUACACUUUUCAAGUAGCACUGUUUUUGGUCCCCUUCCCUUAUUUUCAUGUUGACAGCUCUUUCCUCGUCGCUUCUCUCUUAACUUCAAAUUGGUCUCCUCCACCAUCCCUUUUCAAGUAUUGAAAUUGUCUACAACUCGAUGCAACUGUUUUUAGGAUUUUCUGGUUUUCGAUCAUUUUUCAUUCCAAACGAAAGAAGUCUUUUCUUCCUCUGUUGAUCACACAAUACGAUUAAUCCCUUCAACAUAGUUAGCCUAUUUCAGCAACAUGAUUGUCGUAUUGGUUCAUCAUUUCCGUACCCUCAGCAACAAACACAAUCUCCUUGCUAAAUAGAUGGCAAUCUUUGGGUUGCUAGAAACAGUAUCUGAAAACUUCGUGUUUUUGUUUGCUUUAUGUUGCAAACUCAUGUAAUAGAUCUCUUUGCAACAGUCACACGAUCGUACUAAUCCAUUGUGCACACUAUGGUCCAUCAUGAAUUUGACAAGGAAACAACAGGAAUCUUUAACAGUGUACCAGGACUAACCAGUACCAUACAUGAUGGAUCAAUUCAGUUGCCUGCUGUAUACAGUGCGCCAUGAAAUGAGUCUAAUUAGUACUAGUAAGUGACAUGCAUCAAUAGGAAGGUCACUCAUUUGCAUUAGAGGGAAGGUGAAGAACUGACAGGUCGACAGACUGAGUUCUUGAAACCAAAAGAAAGAUUCAGAUGCAUCGUUGCAAAUAUCAUCCUUUUGUGAUUUCUUGACACUAAGACAAAGAUUUAGGAAAGCAAGAUCCCCAGUUGCUACUUUUAUAACACAAGAAGCGCCGAGGGAUUUGGCAAUGAGAGACGCACCCGUCCCUUGGAGAAGAAAGAAAGGCCGAGAUUGACACACGACUCCGCCGUCUGCGUCGCAGUCUCCGGAGAGGGAGGAGACGGGGGGGAGGAGGAGGAGGAGGAGGAAGAGGCGACGGGGAGGAGACGAGCCCGUCGGGAUCUGAGAGGGGUUUUGGGCGCAGACCAGGUGUUGGACUUCGGGCAGCAGAGGAGGUGCUGUUGGAGAGCGAGAGACGCCAUGGCCAUCGCAGCCACGAAAGAGGGAGAAGUAACGCGGAGGAAAAGGCGACGGCACCGCGCUCACAUUUUUCGCUUCCGUUAUCCGCACGAAUGUCACGGAAGCAGCACAUCGCGACCACCAUUUCUUUAGUCGGGUCGGGUCCGAUCCAUUCCGUUCCCGUGGAUCUAUACAUACAAGGCCCACGGAGAAUCUGGAUCCGGGUCUAUCUUGUUAAAGCCCGAACCCGGACCCAAGUUACCAAACUAUAAUAAAAGGAUAUAAUAAUAAUAAUAAUAAUAAUAAUAAUAAUAAUAAUAAUAAUAAUAAUAAUAAUAAUAAUAAUAAUAAUAAUAAUAAUAAUAGUAGUAGUAGUAGUAGUAAUUUACCUAACAAAACAAGGCCCAUGGAGAAUCUGGAUCCGGGUCUAUUUUACCAGCACCUAUUUUAUUUAACAUACCAAAAAUAAUCUCAAAAUCGGAUUAACCCUUUUUAUUAAAUCGAACAACUUGAUUUAAACCCGAUUGAUCCAAGGGUUAGUUUGGUUCAGUAUGAUUGUAGUCCGGGUCAAAUGGAUUUGGGUCAGAUCUUAUGAAGUUGAUCAAGUUAAGUGUGAAUCAAAAGGUAAAGAGUUUACACAAGGGUUAAACCGAAUUAGUAUAACCCUACUGUAAUCGGCAAUGACCAAUGCUCCUCUCUCUCUUCUGCUCCUCUAUGAUUACGGCAUUUCUCUCUCUUUGGUAACGAUAAACUUCUCUACUCUCUAGUGAUGAAGGACGAUAGUAAAGUUCUAUGCUUUUCUUAGACAUUUUAUGAAUGGUAGCGACAUUCUCCUAUCUUUAGUGGUGCCAAACUCUUCUGCUCCUCUACGAUGUUUGUGCAUCUCCUCUCCAACUAUAAAUGAUAGUAUCUUUAUCAGUAGCCAUAUCCUCUCUCUAGAGGUAAACUUAUCUCUUUUUUUUUUAAAUAGUAAUAUUCUUUGAAAUUAAUUUUUUUAUUAAUCUAUUAAGUAUGUGCACUAAUCCUAUUAACAUUGUGAGAGUCUUAAAGAGGUUUUUAUGUUUAUAUGAUAAAAACGAUUGAUUGUUCACUAAUUAUUGAUAUUUAUAUUUUUGAUGCAACUUAAGGGUUUUGUUAGUUUUUGGUGAAACAAGGAGAGAUUGAUGUUGUAAAACUAAAAGGUCUUUGUUGGUGAACUUUUUAUUGUUAAGAUGUCAAAAUCUUGGGUCUGAAUCAAUAAGUUUAGGUGAAGCAUUCAAGAGAAACAUGGUUAUAUUUGCAACACCUUCUAGGAUUAUUAUUGAUAUUUUUAAUGUUCAUGGUGAGUUUUGAGUUGAUUAAUUCAUGUUUUUUUAAUUACAAACAAGUGUGAAAUUGUAAAUAUAGUUUUCUCUUAGAAGAAGUAAUAUUUUUCAAACCUUGUUUUAGUGUUUAUAUAAUUAUUUUAGAGGGUUUCUAAUUCUUAUCUUAAUUGAUGAAAUUGGGUAAACACCCACUUUUUUUUUGCUAGGUGAAAAUAAUUUAUAAAUAUUAAAUAUUUAUACAAAUUAUUUUCUUUGAUUUUUUUUAUAUUUGCUUAAACUUUAAAUAUAUAUCUCAUAUUUAUAAUAUUUAAUUUUAUAUAUAAAUGGAAUGAUGUCACUACGUAGAUUCCUUCUACUUAGGGAUAAGGAGCAUUUCAUGUGGCUACUACAAGUAAUAUAUAUCAUAAUUUUAUAAUUUAUAUUAAAUAUUAUUAAAUUAUAUAUGAUUAAUGUUAUUUUUAAAUGUAAAGUAUAAGAUGUUUGAAAACUAAUUCCUCCAUCUUCACCCCCUUUGGCCAUCAUAUGCUACCUCAACUAUCACAUUAUCCCCUCUAUAAUAUAUAAUUAAUAAUCAUUAUUACAUAUCAUUUUAGUUAAUGAUCUUUGUUAUAUCAUUCAUUUUAGGUAUUUUGUCUAGGAACCGAGUGGUAAGAGUUAAGGUCGCAUGAUGUUGAGAAAUAUAAGGCGACAUCAAUGUUUCUUAUCGUUAUGCGUAAAAACCUACGAAAUAAAAAAACUAUGUGUAAGAGAAUUACCUAGAGAAAUCAUAUAUAUAUUCAUGAAUUCCUACAGAUCUAUGAGAUUAGAUGAAGGAGUUCAAAUGCCCUCCUCUCUAAUAAUGAUCCAUAUAGCAGGGGCUGCGACGAUGCUCCUAAAAUCACUACUCAAAUCUUCUCAAUGUGCGCACCAUGCACUUAAGUAAGAAGGACUCAAGUAAGGUCAGCCUUUCUUGUUGUCCACACGUCCCAAACUGGGGCUGCUAGCUAAGGAGAGGAAGAAUAGGAGGUGGUAGCUAAAAAACCUUGCUUAUGACCCUUUGGUUCUCUCCUAUUUAUAGAGGUCCUUUGUCAACUUAACCCUAAUGGAUCUUGCUCUAUUAGGUAUUAACUGUAGAUGUACUAGGCUACUACACCAUAGUCCCCAAACGAUAUAGGGGAAUCUAAUUCUUUGGACCUAUCUAUUCUCAAUUAUCAUGUAUCUAUAGUCCCUCAUCCAUAUAAUAUUUCAGAGACCAUAUAUCAGACAUAAUGCUGUCAGGCUCAUACGAUUUCUCCUUGAGUCUUGGUCUAAUCGGAUUCUCUUGGAGAACUCUUUCUCUCUCAAUCUAAAUGACCUUGGCCAAGGAUUUCUCUAAGCAAGAACAUAUGAGAUAUUCCUCUCAUGAUAUCGAGAGUGGAUGAUCCUCUAUCGACACUUAAUAACCAUCAUAAGGUUAGCUACCACUUCUUAUGAUCGGUUGUGCUAGAUCUGAAACUUUUAAACCUAUAAGUUUGGUAUCAAAGAGUGGAGUACUCAUACAGGACAUACUUGAUGUCUCAAGUCUAAGGACCAAGUACACCAUUGGGAUGACAAAAUCACUGUUUGAUAAUAAGGUAUCAUCAACCAUCUAACAUUUCGUGAGCGGAUUAAUCAGUGAACUCAUUCUCCAAUGAGCACCUGCACUAUAGCCUUAGUGUCCCCACACGAGCAACUAUGAGACCAGUUGCUUCCAUCAUAUGAACGAGUAUACAACACACCAGCAUAUCCGGUUAUCUCAAUAUUUCUCUCGAGUAACCUAUGAUCAGAAUUAUUUAAGGUCUGUGUUUAAAGGUGAAUCAAUUUCAUUAUCGUGAUCUCAUUACGAUCCGAUUCUCAUUGCACAGAUUUAUGGACAUCACAAUAUAUUUAUGGAUCAAGCAAUAUAAAUUGAGAAAAUAUCAUAAUAAUAAUAAGCAAAAAGACUGUAUGUCAUGUCACACAUAUCAUCACUCACAUGAUUGACUUACAGGGCACCUAUGACAAGCACAUGAUAUCUAUUUCUCCUAUGUUAUAUCAUCUUCAUAUUCUUAGGAUGAUACCUUUUUGUUAUAUAGCAAAUAUUCCUAACAUUCUUACAUAUUAUUAUUUUUAUAUAUUAUUUUACAACAUUAAGAGAGAGAUUCAAUUUUAAUUUUGGCAGUGUUUUAGUUGAAUUUAGCUUGAGUAAUAUUUCUAUAGUUUUGAAGGUUUCUAAUCGUAAACAAGUCAUAGAUGUUAAAGCAAAGUUCGGGUAUAUGUAUGAGAAAUACUUUAAUGAUCAAUUUUAUAGGAGACAAAAUAUUAUUGACUUAAGGUUGUAGUUGAUAAUUUUAGAAUAAGGUAAUUAUUGAUUUAAGAGUUCAUUUAGAGAUAUGGAUAUGCUUUCUAUAAUUGUUAUUGUUAUAUAUGCAUGUUAUAGAUGUUGAAUCUCGUAUUUUGAUGAUGAAAUCAAUUGAUAAUUAUGUUUAUGUUUUAAUCUGCGUUUUGAGUGAUGCAGGAUGCUUCGAUUAGGAUAAGACAAUUAAAGCAGGAAAAAUCAUGUUGGGCCGGAGGAACAUAUUAGAAGAUUGGAUGUCGGGCCAGUGGAUCGGUCGACAUAUCGACAGAAGACUUCGGGCCAUGGAUUCGGGCAUCGGGCCAAGAAGAGCGGACAUUGCGCCAAGGAUAUCGGAGCUGUGGAGUUAACUGGUCGAUUGGACAAUAGACCACAAGAGAGGACGAUGUGCCGAAGAAUCAGACGAAGCGUUGAGGGACCAAUGACAUACCGGACAACUUGAUUAAUGCUUAGUAUUAAUUUUCUAAAUCGAAGUUUGUUUUACAUGUGGAGAAUUAACUACGAUGGAAGUAAGAUAUGCAGCAGGAGUUACGCUAGAGUCAAGACCAUGAUCAUGUUGGGGGUUCGAGAGUUCGACGGAAGUCCGGACGGUCGUCGGAGGUUCUGUAGGAACAAAUCCGAGAAGUCUAGGAGCUUGCCAAAGAGGAUCGUCGGAACUCGCCAAGUAGAUUGUCGCAAGUCCAGGAGUUUGCCGGAAGUUCGUCGGAGCAUCGCAGAGGGUUCAUCGGAUGUUCGCCGGAAGUUCGUCGGAAGAAGCGAUUGACGCACCGGAGCAAGUUGUAGUAUUAAUGUCUUAAAUAUCAUAGUUAGCAUGUAGAUUAAGUUAGGAAUGAUCAGUGAUCCCAUUAACUUAAUCUGAGAGCAAUUGGGCCCUUGACAGACCCAAAUUGGGCCGAAUGAAUCAGCCCAUUCAGACCCAGAAUUCCUGCCAGGCGGUGACACCGCUAGGGCCGGCUGUGGCACCGCCCAAGAGUCUUGGUCUCCCAGGAAUUUUGGGUGAUAGUACCACCCAAUUAUGAUGGUAGUACUGCUAGGACCUCGAAAAACUAGGAGAUUCACUUUUCAACUCCAAAUUCAAGCCAGUUGGGGCCUAUAUAAACCCCACCCUUUCCUGCAUGAAAGAAAAAUCGAAAGCUUGAUCUUACUCUAUGAUUUUAGAGCUCAAAAGUAUUGUAAAGGCCAAAAGUUCUCCUCCCUCUUUUCUUCCAAGUUUUGAUCAUUCAAGAGAGGAGUGAAAAUUCUGUAAGGGUUGUCUCUUAAGCCCGUCAAAAGGAGUGAAACUGUAAAAGGGUGGUUGGCCUUUGCCUAUUGAAGGAAGGCAUCUAGUAGACGCCGGUGAUCUCGUCGGAGGAGGAAGCCGAAAGUGGAUGUAGGUCACGUUUGACCGAAUCACUCUAAAAUCUAGUUUGCAUUUCCUUUGUGCUAUUUAUCUUAACUGUAAACUGUCUUUCUUACUUUACUUCAAAUAUGUUUUCAUAAGCUUUCAAAGUUAUUAUUUGCACGAAAGGACUUUUACAUCGGAAUCAGAUUUCAACGUACGAACGCAUUUUUAAUCAUCGAAAGUUUUCUACUGUACUAAUUCACCCCCCCUCUUAGUGCUUUUGAUCCUAACAAUAGAGGUAUGUCAAGCACUCAUCCCGAUAGUUACUGAGUCUCAUCUACUGAGAAUACCAAGGUAUAAUAAUUUAGUAUUUUAUAUUUAUAUUUAAAAUAUAUUAUUUAUUUAAAAUAUUAAACUAUUUAUAUGACAAAUAUGCUGGUGAGAAUUGUGUCGAGUGUAAAAAGAAAAAAAUAAAAUUAAGAUUAUGGACUUGAUCAUCUUGUGACCCCAGGAAGAAUUGUUCAUUUGGAUCCAUUAAUAAUCAAUUAGCUUCCAUAGUGUGUUAAGGAUUAUCAAGGUCUACUCCAUUGAUUCCAAUAUCUUUAGUACCAUUUUUUCUUUUUUUUUCUUUUUUUUAGGAUGAUUAAUUAUCCAAAUAGGGACUUAUGUUUUAAAUUUAUGAUCAAAUAUAGCUCGAAUACAACGUAAGUGUAACUUAAGAAAUUUUUACCAACUUAUUCAAACUUCUAUAUAACUAUCAUUAAAUGAUUCUAAUAUGUUUAGCAUCACUUUUCUUAAAUUUUUUUUAAUUUUUAGAUGAUUUUAGUAAUUACAAUGUUAAAAAAGAGAAUUAUAGUUCUAGGAGAUACUACCGCUUGGUUUAGGAUGAUACCAUUACUUAUGGUCAGUAGAUAGUGGAUAUAGACCAUACUAUCGUUUACUUAGUGGUACCAUUACCAUUAAGCAAUAUUAUAUUAUGAUUGAGUAUAAAGUAAGUAUAAUUUCAAGUUAAAUUUAACUAAACUAAUCGAAACUUAUCUACAACUACUAUGACAUGAUUGUAAGAUGAUUAAAUUAUUUUUUAUAAUUUUAGUUGAUCUUAGUGUAUUUAAUAAAAUUUAGCAUAUGGUGAUUAGAAUGUUAGAUUAUAAUCAUAUCCAAUUCAUAACUCAAGUGUAACUCAAAUAAAAAAGAUUGUAACUAAAUUAAAAUCCACUAUGAAAAUUAUAAAAAUGAUAACAUCAAUUCAACUAAAACAAAAAUACAAUAAGGAUCAUAACAUCAAUUAUAAAAUGAUAACUUCAAAUUUAAAAUUAGCAAAAUUUUAUAUUAUUUCAUAAUGUUACAACAUAGUUGGCAAAAAACUAUAUAGAUAUACUAUAGGCAAAAAAUAUCACCUUAUAUUAUAGCUAAUGUAAAUAAAAAAAAACCAAAAUUAUACUAUACCUUAUCUUUGUGUUUCGAUUCUAUCAAUAUCUUCUUACUUCUAACCUAAUAAUACCAAAUUAGAAAGAUAUAUAUAAUAUAUUUUUAUUAUUACAAUAAAAAGUUAAGGUCCAUUUUAGCUCCUAUGAUUUUGACCAUGGAUCACUUAAACCCUUACGAUUUACUCGUGUCUAAAAUAAACCUUAUAUUUUCAAAAAUAUAAUAUAUAAGCCCUCCCUCCCCCGUCAAGUUUAAGUUAAUAAAAGUUAGAGUAUACUUACGUGGUUUGUUGACUCAUAGUAAACCAUUAAUAUAAUAACAUAUAUAAUUUUAGUUUAAAAAAGAGUUAAGAUCCAUUUUAAACUCUGUGAUUUUAGCCAUGGACCACUUAAGCCCUUAUAAUUUAUUCGUAUAUAAAAUAACUCUUAUAUUUUAAAAAAUAUAAUAGAUAAGUCCCUUUCGUCAAGUUUGAGUUAACAAACGUUAAAAUUUGCUUAUGUGGUAUAUUGACUCAUAAUACAUCAUUAAUAUAAUGAUACAUGUAAUUUAAGUUAAAAAAAUUAAGACCACCAUCAAUGAUGGGAGAAGGUGCCGUUGUAGAAGCGACCACCAAUAGUAGCACUGAGCCACUACUGUUUAGCAGGGCAUCAUAUGCACGUAGCCUUUCCUACGCUGACGAUGAGUUCAGGAGCUUCCAGUCCUGCCUUAGGUGGAUAUGCAUCGACUAGUCCAAUGCUAAGCAUGCAAUAGUCUCGUGACCCCUCUUCCUCCUCUUCAACAUUUUCAUCCGUACCACCUCCCACUUCAUCCUCUCAUAUACCCCCACUUGGCUUCUCCUAUCUCCUCUCCGUUUUCGUCCGCCGCUUCCUUUUCCUCGACAAGAUGGACUUUAACGGGAGAGGCUUACAUGCUACGUUUUUGAAAAUGUAGGGAUUAUUUUAUAAAUGAGUAAACUAUAAGAGCUUAUGUAGUCUAUGGCCAAAACCACAAGGGUUAAAAUGGACCUUAAUCCUAUAAUGAAUGAUUCGACAAUACACCGAAUGAUGGGUUGAUGCAAUUAGCGCUUCAAUGACACAACGAAGAAUGAUGUUAUAGCUUCAUCGACACUGCAAAUAUUUGACCAAUAUAAUAGUCGGUCAUAUACUGAUUCCAAAAGGGUACAUAAAGCUAAGUGAGGUUAUGGCAACAAACCAUUAAUCACCAAGACUCUAUAAGGCUUCGUCAACAAUGAAUAAUGACUAGCUCUAUUGGUUUGCUGAUCACUUAGGCUCAACAAUCGACCAGACAUCCUAUUGGUGGGAAGGCAAUGGUAACCUCUUACCUCGGCAAUCAUUGACACUCACUCAGAUGGUGACGACAACCUCCUGCCCCAUCGACGAAGACCAUCCGGACCAUCGAGACGACAAGCACAUAAUUUGUAAGGUCAAAUAUAUAGUUUAUAAAUUAAAAAAAAAAGAGAAACACCUAAAUCCUUGAAAAAUAUGCAUACUUUCAUCUAUUGUCACAUAAAAUAAUACAUAUUUUUAUAUGACUAAAUCUUAUAUUUUUAAAUUUUAUUCUACUAAUUUGGUAAGAUAUUAUAUAUUUUUUAGUUCUUGAUUUUUAUCAUGCUGUCCAGUAUAUUAUCUCACCCUAUUGUAAAAAAUUAGCUCAUUUGAUACGAAGUAGCCUUAAGUGUUUAACAAAUGGUAUCAUCUAUAACAUUUAUAGAUAAUAUCCACAGGGUUUCUCUUGAUGGUUUUAGGAUUCCAAAGGAGCCCAUGACAUCCUCCCCUCCCUAUAACACCAUUUCUCAUUUCUCCGCCCAACGUAUGCUGUUCUUGGAAUGACACCACGUAAAGUGUCCUUUAAAGUGCUCCCCAACUGUUCAUGGAGAGGCGUUCCGAGAAGAUGCAGACUAAACAAACUUGGCCGUGCAUGGCGGACGCGACAUCGAGACGUAAACACCGGGGCUGUCCACAAAAGCACACUCGCAUGGCCCCAUGCGAUGGUGUGGGAAAGCCAAGAGAUGUGUGGCGAACGCCACUGGAACCGUCCUCCAUGGUCAAGAAACACUGCAUGGCCUUAGUUACUGUGACGGAGUGGUUGAGGUCAAUGGAUUCCCCAGUUCUUCUUGCUGGCGAUCCCAAUCCCCUUCCCUGCUCUACAACAGUUCAGGUGACUGGGCAACCCAAGAUGAUCAUGGUGCAUUAAAUCUCCAUCUACUCUUCAUCUUUCCUCAGAAUGCCAUAACUAUUCAUCUCAGACACAGAAACAGAACAUGAAGAAGACCUGCACUUCAUGAACCUUUCAUGCUCGUCUGAUGCACCGACACCUGCUGCUUCUCCUUGUAUUUAUGAUAAGUUUCAGGGCGUGUAAGAUGCAACUUUGUAUCUACUCACUGAAAGAAAGAUAAUACUGAGCUACUUCAGGCUUCAAUCAAAGAUGAGUCAACAUAGUCAACACGAGACCUUUGAUGUUUGUCUUAAUUGCUCAAAGAAUAUAUCUGACUUACUACAUACAAAUGCAUCGACCUGCGUGACAUCCUUUCAUGCACACAAGCUGAGGCCCCCAUGGCGAUGUAAGGACAGUGGGAGAGGACACUGGAAGUUCUUUUCAUAAUGGAAGGCCAGGAACAAUACAUAAACAACAGGCAGAGAAGUUAGAGAAGACUGUGUUGCCUGUGUGCAGCUUGUGGACUCACAUGUGUAUCAAAGGAAACAUCAGCUUGGUGAGUGUUGAUUGCUGCUGCCAUGAACUGAAUCAACAUCCCAUCCCCUAAAACAAAUGCAAAGAAACUCAAUAGCAGUUCUCUUCCACCAUUCACACAAUGUAGAACACAGAACAAAGUCCAAAAGGCUCAGUUCAACUAAGUUGCACUUGCUAAAGUAGUAUAAGCUUAGCACUCACACUCCUCACAAUACCAUAAGUAGUCUUAGAGGAAACUACUUGGAGUUCUACUACGGCGCAGUGGAGGUGGGGAUCGUGUCCGUCACAUGAUACUGCAGGCACCGCUGUUCUCGUCGCUGCAGGUGUAGCACGAACAUGGCGAUGCGGUCGAGUAGAUGUAGCUGCUCUGCAGCAUUGGCAGCGCCGUGUAGUACGCUCCGCCGUGGCUCAUGCUCGGCUGCAUCGAGUUGUAGCUUACCAAGUAUGAUGGCAGCUGAGAUGUGGUGUACACCGGAAAAUUGAACGUUGGUGGGAUUGCAACACCGCCGCUUGCUCCUGCUUUCUUGCUGGCUUCCUGUGGAGCUACUUCGACCUCAGUCGCACUGCCGCCGCCGCCACCACUUGCGCUUCCGCUUUUGUUGUCGUUGUUGCUGUUGCUGUUUUCCUUCUGACCCUUCUUCCCCUUCUUCUUACCACCACCUUCAGUGGCGGCAGACUUGUUGCCCUCAUCCUCUUUCUCAGGUGGCGGAGGAGGCUCCUUGCUGCCAUUCUUGGAGGCUUCACUCUCUGGUUUAUCGGAAACUUGGGUGGAGUCAUCUUUGCCAUUAGACACUUGACUGUUAUCAAUGUUCUUUGAUGGCUCCAUGGGCUUGUUGUUCUUGCUCUUCUUGUUGUUGCUGCCGGCGUUACUGCCGCCACCGCCACCGGUUUCCAUGGGCUUCGUCUCGGGCCAGAGUUCAGCAUGUUUCCCAGCCUUGAGGAGCUUCUUGAUGAGGAUCUCAGCAGCGACGUUGCCGGUGACCACCACUUUGUGCUGCUGGGGGUCGACAGUCGUCUUGUAAACCCCUGAAGAACCUCAGGAAGAUACAUAAGUGGCUUUUGAUGAGGCAAGCGAGGGAAACAAGGGAGAGAACAAAGAGAUGGAGUACUCCAAUGUUACCUUCCAUGCUUUGUAGGACCUUCUUUACUUUCUUCUUGCAUCCUUCACAGUGGAUGGAGACCUUCAGAAUCAAAGUCUGGAGCAUCACCAAAAUCCAAAACUUUGCCUUCACUCCACACACACACACACACACACACACACAACCUUCACAGAAAGAGAGAAAAGCAGGGGACUGGGAAUAGAAAUGUACCUGAUAUUUCAGUGUUUCAGAACACUCUUUAGCUUCUGCCAUGAGUAAAAGUGGAGUUCCGAAGAAGGGUAUCAAGGAAAGCAGAGAUGGAAAAGGGAGGAGGGGAGCGCGAGAGUGAGCGUUGCUGCUGUGGAGGUGGUGAUCCUGGCUUCUAUCAUAGAGCUGCCCCCCAUGAUAAGUGGGUGCCAACAGCAGUGGACAGGAGAUGGUAGGCUUGUAACUAUUAAUCACUCGUAUCAUCUUCAGAUGAUGACAAUUACACCCCUGUAAAUAAGUGGAUGCUAGUCUGGGAUUUGAACCUGGGGGAGACACUGAUUCCUUUGAUCAAACUGGCUCAUGAACAGUGCCUCUCAUGUUCCGGUAGCCCUCAGAAGUUCCCAUAUUGUACCCAUUUGAUCUGUGACAAGGACCGAUGGUAUUCGGUGGCUGCAGGUUUCAUGAUAGUGACUUAAAUUUUGAUCAACCAUCUUCCAUCGUAUGCAACUGCAGUGGUUUGUAAAGGACAUGAUGAUGCUGUCACUCUCACUUCCUCUUCCCUGACAGCAUCCUCAGGAGGUGAGGAAGAUGAAAAAGGCCGUCUUAGGUUGGGAUUGAGCCUGUGACAAGGAAUUAGAAGAGGUUUAGGAGAGCUACAAGAGGCCACUAAAAGGAUAUAUUAACGAGGAAGAGACACCUUCAUGCUGUCUAAUGAUUUGUAUUAUAAAUAUUUUGUGCUCUGAAAAAUAUAAUGCCACCUGAAUUUAGAGUCAAUAUAAGCUUUACUUUUUGAAAAAAUAUAUAUAUAUUAUAAUUUGAUGAUUAACAGAGUAAUAUUAUCUUCUUUUUGGAAACAUAGUGUGCAAAUAAGAGAGAAAAUAACAGAGUUUUGUCUCUUAUGUAUAAAUAAAUAAUGUUUUAAGUCAGAGAUUAUACUGAAAAAUCAAGAAGAAAAAGGGUAACAGACGCACACCAUUAAUGACUUCCUUCUCACCAUUAUUGCAUAACUCCAUUCAUCCUCGCUUGCCUGCCAGAAAUUAAAGGAUCUGAGACUGUAGUUUUCAUACAUUGAAUCGCUCAAGGACGUGGUUGGUUGGUCGACAAUAAAUACUCACAUUUUAAUCUUGGAUCGAAAAGGACCCAUGACAAUUCAUGAUGCCCCAUUAUCACAUGCACCAUUAUGACCAACUAUUGAUGAUAAGUCUGUACUUUUGAUAAGUCUGUACUUUUGGCAUCAGUAAGGGAACCAUUUACAACAUAAGUCAUGUGAUUGUUGGAGCCAAGAAGAAGAUGCUGCACAAAGUUGUCCUACUGAUAUUGAGCAAUAAUGAUAGUUCAGGACACCGAGAUUUUAUCGAUAUGGGGUAUACGAAGGAUCAAUGUACGUAGUCUUCACUCUACUCUCCGAGCGCGAAAAGAUUAUUGUUCAUGGUCGAUGUCCUUAUCAUUCGGGUCGCAGAAAAGUAGCCUUAAAUGAGUUGGAACUUUGCAUUCGCUCUCUCUUCUCACUUAUGAGCUUAAUUCAUGGAGUCAUCCUGCUAUAGUUGUUACACUGGAAUACUUUAUGGAUUCCUCAUAGCCAUAUAUUAUUGUAUAGUGAUCAUCUUUGCUCGUUUUCUGAUCACAAAAAGGAAUUGUCUGUGUUGAUGCUAAUCCUAAAGUUGGUGAAACGGUGGUAAAUGUGAGAUUCAAAGUUUGUCAAGCAAGAAGGAACUCAAAAUAAAAGAAUAGAAGAUGAUGUCGCAUACAAAAAUUUGCUAUAGAGCUUGCUGAGUUCAAUGAACAAAACACUCGUCUUUUCUUCCUCAGACAAAUCUCAGCUCUCACCUUCUAAGUAAUGUUUGUAUCUGGUGGUAUUAGUGCUUGAAUCUUCUGAAUGGCACCAUAAAGAUAGCCACCAAAGCAUACAUUCACAACAAAAUAGAUUAGAAGAUUCAUGAUAUGUCAACCCCCUCAAUAAUUCUUAGAGUUCUUUGGCAGAGAUCAAGGGAAAUGCUUGGUUGCUUGUAGAACUGCUUCUUUAGGCACUAAUUGGUGAGCCAUUUGCGACGUUCAUCCUUAUUUAAUUUCUUAGAUGCUCAAACUAAGUUGCAGUAGCAGUGACUCUGGUUGUAACUACAGAAGAACCAGAAAUAACAAGGAAGCUUCAACAACUGACCUCAAUUUGUUUUAGAUAACCUACUGUCUACUGUUAAUCCCACUGUGGAUCGCCUUGCAGGAUGAUGACUCUUCUCUGAAGUUAAAGAGUGUUAUGUGUACCUUCAUUUCUUGCACAAAAGGUAUUUGGGCAUUCAUCAGCUGCUGCUACUGCAGUGGCAAUCAGCUUUUGAGCAUGCAACCAAACUCCUGGGUUGGCCUUUUGGUUCAGAAUACAAUUGGCUUGAUCUGGUGAAACUGUCACAGAUGGGGUAAUGAGUCCAAACUAAUCAAUCUACUUUUAUGAUCAGCCUGCCACAAUGCGUCUGUUCAAUCUUUACAAGGGACCUGGAAAGAGUUAUAUUAAGUGUAACUUUGUGAUGUAAUCAGUGACCAAAUACUAUUCAGUUUUAAGAGCAUUCUGUACAUGAUGCUUAGGAGGAAAUAGAUGACUGUAGAUUUUACUUAGGUUUCAUGUGCAGAUACUUGCUCAUCUCAUCCUUUUCAUCUGUAUCUCUGGCAGCUUUCAGUACUCUUUUGGUCUCAUGCACUUGUCCUAUAAUAUAUGGAGCCAAAUGCAGCAACUUUUCAUGAGCAAACAAUAGAAACUUGACAAGCCAAAUGGUGGAGAUUACACAGCAGUUAGUCAUGGUAAAAUUACAUGUAGUUUGGCACUUGAGGUUGCAAGUGGAUGCAGGUUUGUAGAGAUUGAAGCACUCUUGGAAACUCCGAGUGGAGCUCUUCCUCAGCUUUCUUAUCUUUUGCUGAUACCUAAAAGCUAAGCUUUGACACUAACUUGCACUUUCCAGCCAUAUCAGCUUUGAACUCAUUUCAAUGCUGCUGCAGCCUCACAUAAACUGAUAUCUCAGUAUUUUUCUUCACCUGUUUAUCAUCAGCUCCUCUUCUCCAAUUCUCAUUCUAGUCUUACAGAUAUUUAUAUGAUUCGACAUCCCUUAUCUGAGUUAAUAUAAUUAAUAAAAAAAUAUUUUUAAUUGCAUAAGAAUAAUUAUAAUAAAGAAAAAUAAAAUUUAUUAAUCAAAACCUAAGCCCAAAGCAUUUUAUUCCAUCUCUCCUAAAUCUGAAAAUUUUUCUUGCUAUCUAAACACCAAAAAUAUUUUUAUUUUUAUUUUUUACACAUCAUAGUCUUAAAAUACAUGUGAUUAUAGAGCAAUCAGUCACCAAUCUUAUUGAAAAAUCAAACUGAUCCAUCAAAAUUUCUGCAAGUAUAAUUAUUAUUAAUUUUCUCUUUUCAAUUACAUGUCAAUCUCAACACUUUGACACCAUCAAUCAGUCUUCAGACUUCGGACAAAAUGCCUUACAUGCCUUGUUCACUGAAUUUAUUCUGACAAGAAAGAUUGCAGGAACAGCUGAUUAGAUCUGCAACUUCAAUGCCCAAAUGCAGUGCAGGUUGUCAGUAAUGAAUGACUCUCUAGCUGGGCAGAUUAUUGUCCAUGAACUGUGAUCAAUGAGCUGCUAAGUUGCCAGUGCAAGAUUUUUUUUUUUUUUUAAUUUUAUUUUAAUGUGUUGCAAGUUCUAAUGGUGGGUAAUAGUUAGCUGAUUUGAGAGCAGAUUAUUCCCUGAAGAUAACUCCUACUGCCCCUUCCAUGAGCUUUAUGGGAUUAGAUAGAAUGAACAGAUGUUGUACUGCCUUCUGGUUUUUGUUGUGAUGUCUUGUGUUCCUUUUGAAUAAAAAAAGAAAGGAACACAGAGAUGAAUGGAAAAAAGAACAAAUAUCAAUUUCUGAAUUUUCUUCUCUUUCCGCACCUGAAUAAUCUCAUUACAGCUAACCCAAACAAAGAUUUAAGAUCAUCCAUAUGAAAGAUGACAGGCAUUAUUAAGCUAAGUAUUUUUAUUUACUUACAAGAUUUCAUGUAGGAAAUGUAGCGACAGAAUAACCAAGUCUUACACCACUUUUUCUUUGGCUGGAUGCCAAGUUUAUUUUAGGUGAGCUUAUCAAGUUCUUCAUGAAGCUCUCAGAACAUACAUAUUUUCUGCUUUUAAUUUAGUAAUUGUUCCAGAAAUGGAAACUAUUUUCUUCUUAUUAUUAAGUAAUUGUUCCAGAAACUGAUACUAUUGAUUGCCAACAGAUAAUAAAUACAUAAAUAGACUGUCAGGAAAUAUAUUGGUGUGUGAGAUGAAGAUGGAAAGUUUCGUAAAAGAAUAAUCUCUCUAAUGUUUUGGAUCUCUAAUAAUGAGCAUAAGAACAUGAUUGCCUAGGCCAGUAUGACUACCACCAUAGAAUUUAAUAGCAAACUAGUGUAUCCAAGCUUCCAAGACUAACUGCAAACACAAUUAUGUGCAUCCAAGCUUAUAACAAUUUACAGCUCAUCCAAAUUGCCAAGCAUCAAAUGCGACCAUCAAUUUUUCAUGACAGUCAUAUAUGAGAUAAUCAAGAGAAUAAUAAAUUUGACUCACCAAAGAAAUUAUAUUUUUGACCAUUUUGAGGUCAAAUACACAAACAGGGUUCAGUAAUGGUGAGAAAAAACCACAAAAUGUAGUGAUAAUUGCAUUGAGCAGGAUAACAGGUUGCCUGUGUGCACAUUCCCCAUCGCCUAAACUUUGUUGACAAUGACAUCACGAUACAAUACAAUGUGAUAUUAAACCAAAUAAAUACUGGUGGCAAACCAUUCAGCAAGUUGACAAAGAUGUCAGUUAAAUCUAUCAUCAAGGUAAAUUUUUACGUACUGCCAAAACACCUACCACCGCAGAUGUAAGAAGCAAAAAGAUGCCGUCUCUGGAUAGAGCAUAUUCUUUCCAUGUUAGAGGUCGACUGAUUUGGUUCAAAACCUUCUGGAAUUGUAGUCUUGUUUCUUCAAUUGUGCCAGAAUUAUCAAUGACUAUAUUUGCCUUGGUCUUCUUCUGGUCCAGUGCCAUCUGUGCGUUAAUUUUAUUUUUGGCUUGUUCUUCAGGUAUGCCAUCUCUUGCCAUUAAGCGUUUUAUCUGGGUUUCAGGAUCAACCCAUACAACAAUAACAGGAGAUGUUUGUUGAUCCAUUUUGGUCUCAAACAACAAUGGGAUGUCUAGAAUGAUAACCUUUGACCCUUUUAUCCACAGCUUGAAUACCUCCCAAAAGAUGCCCGAGGAAAUAUAUGGAGCCAAUAAACUGCAGGUAGGUAAAAAGAAAAAAAAAAGUUAGAUAAAUUCAUGUGCAGUUUUGUAUUUCCACAUCCUCUGAUUAAAAGGAAAGACCAACAGGAAAAUUGAUUAUUUUAGCAUAUGAUCAAGCUGCAAUCCAGCAACAGGAACUGCUAUUAAUGUUAUUCAUGAAGUUGGGCAAGGGGUAGUUAUAAAAGAACCAGGUGUUGAAUUUUACUUACUGUAUAACACAAACAACUAGUAAGAAUCAAUAGAAGUGUCAAAGCGUGAGCCAAUCCGUUCUAUAUACUAAUUAAAUCCUUCAAUCCUAGUUGAGUGGAAACAGUUUCCAGUUGUAAUGCUCUAUUUGAAGUCCAUACCGGUUCAGAAGUUGGCGUUUUGCUGGAUCUGUAAAGACAAUGUGACCUAGCCGUGCUCUAUCAAUUUCUCCAUUCUCUAGUAAAAUAUCGUUCCCAAAUGCUUUUACUACUUUCUUCCAACCACCCGUUCCCUUCUUCACCACAUCCUGCAUUGAAGCACCAUAAUUAUCUAGAUAUCAAACCAUAACAAUCUGAUAGUUGCUUCAGAAAAAUGCGAGAAUUAUAAAUUGUUGCAUUAGGACAAACACAAAAUAAUCGCAAAAUGGAGUUCCCAAAUGUAUCUAUAAGUAUGAUGCAACAAAUUGGAAAAGUAACGCACAAAAGUAGUUCGGUAGUACUUGAUCACAAAUGAUGAGAAGCAACAUAAGUAUAAAUUCUUCCAUGUAAGAACAACCUACCUACGCAAGUUCCAAACCCCCGAAUCCAAAGAUCAAUGUAAAUAGUUAUUUUGUACAUUGCUGCAGUAUAAGAAAAAUGAUCACAAACGUAGUUGAGGUUUAACUCGUCAAAGAUUUACAAUGUAAUCAUUGAACAAGAGAGGAAUGUGGUAGAUUCCGUGGGCAGGAUUGGGUGGUUGGAGCAGGCAAAUCAUUUUCUUUUGCAGUAUUAUCAUUUCAAUCACUAGUACAAAAACCACAAACAUGAAUACAUCAGCAAGAAUGUUAAGAUAAAGGAGGCCAAAACAGAAAAGGUACUCAAAGUUUUAACUUUGUGCAAAGUGUAGAAUUUUCACCGCGAGUUAAAGUAUAAUAGAGUUACUUUCACAUGUACGUUCAGCUCCAUUUUUGUCCUUUCGACAGACUCUAUGAUCGAUAAGAAUUAGUGACACAACUCCAAAGCCACAUGGAGUCCCGUACGAGCUGGCACCGAUGAACAAAAAUCAAUUUGCAACACACAGAAUUAAGUCAAAAAUGUUAUUUCUCACAUAUAAAAUUGAGACCAACUAUAGUUUUGGACAUCAAUUUCAUCAUUCAUUUAAGACCACAGCAAAAAGGGCUGUACAACGCACAGAUGAAACCCUAACUAAUGAAGAGAAAUCAAAUCCAGAUGAAACCAAUAUCAAUUUCUACACAGCAAAAGUGCAAGCGAUCGUAAUUUUUACAAAGUUUAUUUCCACAAUGUUAGUAGCCAACAUCGACAAAUUAGAAGCAAAACGAGAAAAUUCAGGAUCUUUGCAAAGGAAAGGAGUGGUGGAUGUGACAAAUGCUAAAUGAAUUUACCCGGGCAACGACGUCGGCGUCGACGACGGGAACGCCUUCAGAUAUGAACAGAUUGGAGACCGUGCUCUUCCCGGACGCGAUCCCGCCCGUCAGUCCCACCAACCUCAUCUCCUCUCCGCAAUCUAAUCCGACAGAGGGUAAAACAAGGGAAAUAGGAGAAGAGGACGACGAAGAGGAAGAGAGAGGAUUCGCCCCCUUCUGCCUCCUCCGCGCGAGUGGCACGAGUCGCGGAGAAUCCUCUUUCGGAGACCCGCUAUGGAUGCCACAAACAUCGCUUCCUGGUGAUUAGCAACUAACAUCGGGGUCCACCAGAGACCCGCAAUCGAUGCCAUUAGGGUAGAGGGAGGGUGAAAAGUGGUCGGGUGGGGAGUCAUGCCUCCACCUAGCGCUGGUAGGUGAGGUGGUGAGCCUUUUAACGGGUUGCUCUUUCGAGGCCAUAAGUGGGACCCUUUAGUGGAGCCAUCUCUUCCCCCAAGGCCAACGUUGGUAGAGAAGAGGGUGAUCGAGUAAUGGGUGAAUGAAUGCAUGGCUUAUCAAAAUUUUUAUCAACUAAAUUAAUUAUUAUUUUUUAAAAAUAUAUUAAAUACAAUAUUAAACCCUCCUUUAAAAAAAAAAAAAGAAUCUAAUACAUUAUAAUUAGAUCAAUAUUUAAUAUAUAAAAAUAUAUUAGAUAAGAUUUCAAACUUUUGUAAGUGAGUCUAGGACACUAAUAAAAUUUUAAAUCAAAAAAAUUAGAUAUAUCAUCAUUAAAUUAAUAUUUUAAAUAUAAAUAAUAUGUUAAUCGAAGUUUGAAACCCUCAACUUUAAAAUAUAUGGAUAAAAUUUCAAACUCCCAAUUUUGAUAAAAAAAAUUAAAUACAUAAUAUUAAUAUUUAAUUUUUUUAAAACUAAAUAUUAACUUUGAUAAGCUAAAACUCAAUUUUUAAAAAUUUAUUAAUAUUUAUAUACUCUCUGUUUCUAAGAUAAGCUAUGUGAUAUUAACCUCAACCUUUCUAAGAGGAUCUUGUUGUACCAUUACCUCUUUUACAUUAGCCCAUCAUUACAUCUAUUGGUAGCAUGACCUAUACGAUGUAGUUGUUACUUAGUAGAUACUUCUAACUAUGAUGUUUUUUAACACACCGGUUUUUAGCUGUAGGAUGCCCCAAACAAUCACCUUACAGCAGCUGUCGAUGGAGACAAAGCUGUCGGAGUUGCGUGUUUUUUUGGCUUUACAGAUUAAUGAGGAAGAAGAGCAGCUUUACUCGUUGCUUCUUCCUGCUGGGGUUAACGGACGCCAUGUCUGCGCAACAGCAGCAGCAAACAGAGCUGUUUGUGCACUCCAUCGGCAAACAUGGUUUUCCUGCACUCCAACUUGAAGGGAAAGAAAGCAAAGGGUCUUAUUCCAUGAGCAACGCUCCAAAGCGGAACACACACACCAAAGCGUUUCAGAGCCUCAAACUGACAGCAGCACUCAGACAACAACCCUCAGAAGAGCUUUGGGAACAGGAGUUCACUACGAGGUGGGCGUGCCGGUCGUCACCUUCUUGUACGCGGGCCGCGACGCCAAGCUCUCCCACCAGGCCUUCACAUGGGGGCGAGACUCGAACAGGGAAGCCUGGGGACCGGCUACGAUGUGGUGGGUGUAAGGAAUGUGGCUGAGGUCGGCGAAGCUGAGGAAGUCGCCGGCCAAGUACUUGGACUUGGACAGCCGGGCCUCGUACACGUCGAGCACCUUGCCCAGCUUCGCCGCGCUCUCCGCCACCACCUUCUCGUCCGGGACGCCGCCGAAGAAGACAGGUUUGAUCACGGUCUCUAUGUAGAUGGCGGAAAUCGCCUUGUCGUACUGCUGAGCCUCCACCUCCAGCCACACGUCCACCAUAGCCGACUCCUCCAGGCUGCCCUCCCUCAGCAGGUCAGGGCCCGAUGACUUGUACUUGCGCAGCACGUAUCUUGAGAUCGCUCUUGACUCUGAUCCCCCAAGUGUCAGCAAACGAAGGACGGGUAAAGAGAUACACACAGAAAGAGGGAUGAUGGCUCACCAAAAAGCAUGAGAUCUCCGUCCUCGAAGGCCGGCACCUGGCCGAAGGGCUGCCAAAAUCACACGAGACGGCACAUAAGACGCGAGAGAGAGACAGAGAGAGGAACUCCCCAAAGGUAGAGACUUACGUUUCUGGCGACGUGGGGAGGGGACUUGUGCUCGCCGGUCGAGAAGUCGAUGGGCACCAACUCGUACUCGGCCCCCAUCUCCUCCAAGCACAGAAGCACGCGCACCGUGGCCGUCGACAUCGCUGCUCCGUAUACCUUCACCGCCAUGACCUCUCUCUCUCUCUCUCGCUCUCU